This 301-nucleotide ribosomal RNA is filed under the name uncultured bacterium. Its description in RNAcentral is "partial 16S ribosomal RNA". It matches the Rfam family "Bacterial small subunit ribosomal RNA", at positions 509 to 807 of the family's 1533-position model. The record is from RNAcentral.
CAGUCGCCGCGGUAAUACUGAGGGUGCGAGCGUUAAUCGGAUUUACUUGGCGUAAAGCGUGCGUAGGCGGCUUCUUAAGUCGGAUGUGAAAUCCCUGAGCUUAACUUAGGAAUUGCAUUCGAUACUGGGAAGCUAGAGUAUGGGAGAGGAUGGUAGAAUUCCAGGUGUAGCGGUGAAAUGCGUAGAGAUCUGGAGGAAUACCGAUGGCGAAGGCAGCCAUCUGGCCUAAUACUGACGCUGAGGUACGAAAGCAUGGGGAGCAAACAGGAUUAGAUACCCGAGUAGUCCCUGUCUCUUAUAC